GACGUAGGGCGCGAGCGUUGUCCGGAUUUAUUGGGCGUAAAGAGCUCGUAGGCGGCUUGUCGCGUCGACUGUGAAAUCCCGCGGCUCAACCGCGGGUCUGCAGUCGAUACGGGCAGGCUAGAGUUCGGUAGGGGAGACUGGAAUUCCUGGUGUAGCGGUGAAAUGCGCAGAUAUCAGGAGGAACACCGAUGGCGAAGGCGGGUCUCUGGGCCGAUACUGACGCUGAGGAGCGAAAGCGUGGGGAGCGAACAGG
Molecule: ribosomal RNA, 253 nt
Filed under: uncultured bacterium
Lineage: Bacteria
Description: partial 16S ribosomal RNA
Rfam family: Bacterial small subunit ribosomal RNA
Source: RNAcentral